Long non-coding RNA from Oncorhynchus masou masou (cherry salmon), 463 nucleotides. RefSeq lists it as uncharacterized. NCBI's taxonomy places the organism in Eukaryota, Metazoa, Chordata, Actinopteri, Salmoniformes, Salmonidae. The record is from RefSeq and is a predicted model, not a curated record. The transcript is spliced from 3 exons.
CGGGGUGAUGGCUGGAAAGGACAUUUUCCCAUCGUUAAAGGACAUUUCUUCGUGACCGUGGUGAUGGAUGGAAAGGACAUUUCCCUGUCAUUAAAGGAUAAAGGGUCCGGUUAGCCCUGACAAUUAUCCUUUUGGAAUUCACCAUCGCAAAGACGCUUGCCCGCUCCAUCAAAACUCUGUAAGUUUUCCCUCCAUAUGUAGAUCAACCGUCCUGCAUGUAAAUCCUGGGUAUGCCCACAUCAUUAAUUAAUAAGAUGUGUAGAAAACUGUUUAGCCAUAAGUAAAGGCCUUUCAUAAAGAGGCUGUCAUGAUUGCCUGUGCCACAUAUUUAACACGUAUUUCUUGUUACAGAAUACUAUUGUUGUACAUUUAAUAUCCACUAGCAGAUUUCGUUGCAUUUGCACAAAUUCUGUCAUGUUACUGUGGUCUUUUGAAAAGUCAAUAAAUAUGUGUGUAAAGUGUA